UACGUAGGGGGCAAGCGUUGUCCGGAAUCAUUGGGCGUAAAGCGCGUGUAGGCGGCUUGGUAAGUCUGCUCUGAAAGCCCGGGGCUCAACCCUGGGAGGCGGGUGGAUACUGCCGAGCUCGAGUCCGGAAGAGGCGAGUGGAAUUCCUGGUGUAGCGGUGAAAUGCGCAGAUAUCGGGAGGAACACCUAUGGCGAAGGCAGCUCGCUGGGACGUUACCGACGCUGAGACGCGAAAGCGUGGGGAGCAAACAGG
Molecule: ribosomal RNA, 253 nt
Filed under: uncultured bacterium
Lineage: Bacteria
Description: partial 16S ribosomal RNA
Rfam family: Bacterial small subunit ribosomal RNA
Source: RNAcentral